Molecule: ribosomal RNA, 494 nt
Filed under: uncultured bacterium
Lineage: Bacteria
Description: partial 16S ribosomal RNA
Rfam family: Bacterial small subunit ribosomal RNA
Source: RNAcentral
GACGAACGCUGGCGGCGUGCUUAACACAUGCAAGUCGAACGGUGAAGCGCCGUCCUUUUUGGUGGGUGUGGUUGCGAGGCGAACGGGAGCGUAACACGUGCGUAACCUGCACCCUUCUUCUGCAUAACCGCAUGAAAGUGUGGCUAAUACGGGAUAUUCUGGGUCUGUCGCAUGAUGGGUCUGGGACAGAUAUUGUUUCGGUGGGGGAUGGGCUCGCGGCGUAUCAGCUUGUUGGUGGUGUGAUGGCCUACCAAGGCGGUGCCGGGUAGCCGGCCUGAGAGGGUGGACGGCCAGAGUGGGAGUGAGGCAACGCUGAGACUGCUACGGGAGGCAGCAGUGGAGAGUAGUGCGCAGUGGGCGAUAGUGUGAUGCAGGGGCGAGGCGUGAGCAGCGGCGGCCCUCGGGUUGUGAACGCCUUUCGCUAGUGAAGCAGGCCUGCCUGGGUUGUGGGGUGGUUGACGGUAGCUGGAUAAGAAGCGCCGGCUAACUACGUG